Molecule: ribosomal RNA, 512 nt
Filed under: uncultured microorganism
Description: bacterial SSU rRNA
Rfam family: Bacterial small subunit ribosomal RNA
Source: RNAcentral
GAGUUUGAUCGUGGCUCAGGAUGAACGCUGGCGGCGUGCCUAAUACAUGCAAGUCGAGCGAACGGACGAGAAGCUUGCUUCUCUGAUGUUAGCGGCGGACGGGUGAGUAACACGUGGGUAACCUACCUAUAAGACUGGGAUAACUCCGGGAAACCGGGGCUAAUACCGGAUAACACAUGAAACCGCAUGGUUUCAUGAUGAAAGACGGUCUUGCUGUCACUUAUAGAUGGAUCCGCGCUGCAUUAGCUAGUUGGUAAGGUAACGGCUUACCAAGGCAACGAUGCAUAGCCGACCUGAGAGGGUGAUCGGCCACACUGGAACUGAGACACGGUCCAGACUCCUACGGGAGGCAGCAGUAGGGAAUCUUCCGCAAUGGGCGAAAGCCUGACGGAGCAACGCCGCGUGAGUGAUGAGGUCUUCGGAUCGUAAAACUCUGUUAUUAGGGAAGAACAUAUGUGUAAGUAACUGUGCACAUCUUGACGGUACCAAUCAGAAAGCCACGGCUAACUACG